RNAcentral lists this transfer RNA (74 nucleotides) under Verrucomicrobiota bacterium. RNAcentral's name for it is "Verrucomicrobia bacterium tRNA-Pro". It matches the Rfam family "tRNA". From Rfam's summary of the family: Transfer RNA (tRNA) molecules are approximately 80 nucleotides in length. Their secondary structure includes four short double-helical elements and three loops (D, anti-codon, and T loops). Further hydrogen bonds mediate the characteristic L-shaped molecular structure. tRNAs have two regions of fundamental functional importance: the anti-codon, which is responsible for specific mRNA codon recognition, and the 3' end, to which the tRNAs corresponding amino acid is attached (by aminoacyl-tRNA synthetases). tRNAs cope with the degeneracy of the genetic code in two manners: having more than one tRNA (with a specific anti-codon) for a particular amino acid; and 'wobble' base-pairing, i.e. permitting non-standard base-pairing at the 3rd anti-codon position. The record is from RNAcentral. Lineage: Bacteria; Pseudomonadati; Verrucomicrobiota. RNAcentral also lists the same sequence under 2 other names.
CGGGCUGUGGCUCAGCUUGGUAGAGCGCUUGAAUGGGGUUCAAGAGGUCCCGGGUUCAAAUCCCGGCAGCCCGA